Epinephelus fuscoguttatus (brown-marbled grouper) is the source of this 406-nucleotide long non-coding RNA. RefSeq lists it as uncharacterized. The transcript has 4 exons. The record is from RefSeq and is a predicted model, not a curated record. Lineage: Eukaryota; Metazoa; Chordata; Actinopteri; Perciformes; Serranidae.
GAUGCUGAUUGGUCCGAACCACUAGUGGUGUGGACACAAAUGCAUUACUUGAAGCCUGACAGCCUCACUCAACACAAGUCGUGUUUCUGGCCACCUGAAGAAUGUUUUGAUUUGUUGUCGGAGGAGUGGAGCGUGGUGAGACAUGUGAGCUUUGAAAAUGUGGAAGUGAACAUUAACCCGAACUGUCAAGGCACCGUUGAGCACAAUGGACCUAUUCAGCGGCUUAUAGAAAAAUGUGUCUGGACUGCACAGCUCCCAGCUGAGGAGAAACAGGGCUCGGCAGGACGAAGCACCUGCUGCAGUAAGCGAACACACCGUCUGCUGUCAUUUUGACUUGACCAGUAGACUUCACUACAAGUCCAUUGGCUGUUGAAACAGGGAGGCCAAAUGAGAGGGUCAGUCAGAG